Molecule: unclassified non-coding RNA, 590 nt
Filed under: Penicillium viridicatum
Lineage: Eukaryota; Fungi; Ascomycota; Eurotiomycetes; Eurotiales; Aspergillaceae
Description: sequence contains 18S rRNA gene, ITS1, 5.8S rRNA gene, ITS2, 28S rRNA gene
Rfam family: 5.8S ribosomal RNA (bases 220-372)
Source: RNAcentral
UCGUAACAAGGUUUCCGUAGGUGAACCUGCGGAAGGAUCAUUACCGAGUGAGGGCCCUUUGGGUCCAACCUCCCACCCGUGUUUAUUUUACCUUGUUGCUUCGGCGGGCCCGCCUUUACUGGCCGCCGGGGGGCUCACGCCCCCGGGCCCGCGCCCGCCGAAGACACCCUCGAACUCUGUCUGAAGAUUGAAGUCUGAGUGAAAAUAUAAAUUAUUUAAAACUUUCAACAACGGAUCUCUUGGUUCCGGCAUCGAUGAAGAACGCAGCGAAAUGCGAUACGUAAUGUGAAUUGCAAAUUCAGUGAAUCAUCGAGUCUUUGAACGCACAUUGCGCCCCCUGGUAUUCCGGGGGGCAUGCCUGUCCGAGCGUCAUUGCUGCCCUCAAGCCCGGCUUGUGUGUUGGGCCCCGUCCUCCGAUUCCGGGGGACGGGCCCGAAAGGCAGCGGCGGCACCGCGUCCGGUCCUCGAGCGUAUGGGGCUUUGUCACCCGCUCUGUAGGCCCGGCCGGCGCUUGCCGAUCAACCCAAAUUUUUAUCCAGGUUGACCUCGGAUCAGGUAGGGAUACCCGCUGAACUUAAGCAUAUCAAUAA